This 1554-nucleotide ribosomal RNA is filed under the name Staphylococcus aureus. Its description in RNAcentral is "16S ribosomal RNA". It matches the Rfam family "Bacterial small subunit ribosomal RNA". The record is from RNAcentral. Lineage: Bacteria; Bacillati; Bacillota; Bacilli; Caryophanales; Staphylococcaceae.
UUUAUGGAGAGUUUGAUCCUGGCUCAGGAUGAACGCUGGCGGCGUGCCUAAUACAUGCAAGUCGAGCGAACGGACGAGAAGCUUGCUUCUCUGAUGUUAGCGGCGGACGGGUGAGUAACACGUGGAUAACCUACCUAUAAGACUGGGAUAACUUCGGGAAACCGGAGCUAAUACCGGAUAAUAUUUUGAACCGCAUGGUUCAAAAGUGAAAGACGGUCUUGCUGUCACUUAUAGAUGGAUCCGCGCUGCAUUAGCUAGUUGGUAAGGUAACGGCUUACCAAGGCAACGAUGCAUAGCCGACCUGAGAGGGUGAUCGGCCACACUGGAACUGAGACACGGUCCAGACUCCUACGGGAGGCAGCAGUAGGGAAUCUUCCGCAAUGGGCGAAAGCCUGACGGAGCAAUGCCGCGUGAGUGAUGAAGGUCUUCGGAUCGUAAAACUCUGUUAUUAGGGAAGAACAUAUGUGUAAGUAACUGUGCACAUCUUGACGGUACCUAAUCAGAAAGCCACGGCUAACUACGUGCCAGCAGCCGCGGUAAUACGUAGGUGGCAAGCGUUAUCCGGAAUUAUUGGGCGUAAAGCGCGCGUAGGCGGUUUUUUAAGUCUGAUGUGAAAGCCCACGGCUCAACCGUGGAGGGUCAUUGGAAACUGGAAAACUUGAGUGCAGAAGAGGAAAGUGGAAUUCCAUGUGUAGCGGUGAAAUGCGCAGAGAUAUGGAGGAACACCAGUGGCGAAGGCGACUUUCUGGUCUGUAACUGACGCUGAUGUGCGAAAGCGUGGGGAUCAAACAGGAUUAGAUACCCUGGUAGUCCACGCCGUAAACGAUGAGUGCUAAGUGUUAGGGGGUUUCCGCCCCUUAGUGCUGCAGCUAACGCAUUAAGCACUCCGCCUGGGGAGUACGACCGCAAGGUUGAAACUCAAAGGAAUUGACGGGGACCCGCACAAGCGGUGGAGCAUGUGGUUUAAUUCGAAGCAACGCGAAGAACCUUACCAAAUCUUGACAUCCUUUGACAACUCUAGAGAUAGAGCCUUCCCCUUCGGGGGACAAAGUGACAGGUGGUGCAUGGUUGUCGUCAGCUCGUGUCGUGAGAUGUUGGGUUAAGUCCCGCAACGAGCGCAACCCUUAAGCUUAGUUGCCAUCAUUAAGUUGGGCACUCUAAGUUGACUGCCGGUGACAAACCGGAGGAAGGUGGGGAUGACGUCAAAUCAUCAUGCCCCUUAUGAUUUGGGCUACACACGUGCUACAAUGGACAAUACAAAGGGCAGCGAAACCGCGAGGUCAAGCAAAUCCCAUAAAGUUGUUCUCAGUUCGGAUUGUAGUCUGCAACUCGACUACAUGAAGCUGGAAUCGCUAGUAAUCGUAGAUCAGCAUGCUACGGUGAAUACGUUCCCGGGUCUUGUACACACCGCCCGUCACACCACGAGAGUUUGUAACACCCGAAGCCGGUGGAGUAACCUUUUAGGAGCUAGCCGUCGAAGGUGGGACAAAUGAUUGGGGUGAAGUCGUAACAAGGUAGCCGUAUCGGAAGGUGCGGCUGGAUCACCUCCUUUCU